GACACAGGGAGGUAGUGACAAGAAAUAACAAUACAGGGCUUUAAGCUUUGUAAUUGGAAUGAUGGGAAUCUAAACCUCUUCCAGAGUAUCAAUUGGAGGGCAAGUCUGGUGCCAGCAGCCGCGGUAAUUCCAGCUCCAAUAGCGUAUAUUAAACUUGUUGCAGUUAAAAAGCUCGUAGUUGAACUUCUGCCGCCAGGACUUCGUUCCCUUUGGGGCUUCGCUUUCCUGGUGGCAUUCUUCCGGUUAAUUUGGGCUUCGGCCCUCUUUUCCCGGUUUUACUUUGAGAAAAUUAGAGUGUUUCAAGCAGGCUUUUGCCUUGAAUACUUCAGCAUGGAAUAAUAAAGUAGGACUUUGGUUCUAUUUUGUUGGUUUCAGAGCCAAAGUAAUGGUUAAUAGGAACAGUUGGGGGCAUUCGUAUUUAACUGUCAGAGGUGAAAUUCUUA
Molecule: ribosomal RNA, 443 nt
Filed under: Babesia cf. lengau ex Hyaenidae JK-2021
Lineage: Eukaryota; Apicomplexa; Aconoidasida; Piroplasmida; Babesiidae
Description: SSU rRNA
Rfam family: Eukaryotic small subunit ribosomal RNA
Source: RNAcentral